Molecule: ribosomal RNA, 999 nt
Filed under: Triticum aestivum (bread wheat)
Lineage: Eukaryota; Viridiplantae; Streptophyta; Magnoliopsida; Poales; Poaceae
Description: partial small subunit ribosomal RNA
Source: RNAcentral
AUGCGUGCAACUCUUGAAGCCGAAUACACUCGAGAGGAAGUGAAAGCAACACUGGAUCACAUUGGUGAUCUGAAGGCCCCAGGACCGGAUGGUAUGCCUUCUAUCGUUUUUAAGCGACAUUGGCAUUUUAUGGGCGAUCAGAUUGUUAAAGAGGUCCUAUCAGUGCUAAAUGGAGGAGACAUGCCAGAGGGGUGGAAUGACACUAUGGUUGUACUAAUCCCCAAGGUAAAGAACCCAAAGAGAAUCAAGGAUCCGAGGCCGAUUAGUUUGUGCAAUGUAGUCUACAAGCUGGUUUCCAAAGUCAUAGCAAAUAGGCUAAAGUUAGUGCUACCGAAUGUCAUCUCGGAUAAUCAAAGUGCUUUUGUACCUGGAAGACUAAUCACGGACAACGUUCUCAUUGCAUAUGAGAUCUCACACUACCUCAUGAACAAGAGGAGUGGCAAAAGUGGUGUGGCAUCAGUCAAAGCAGACAUGAGCAAAGCCUAUGAUCGUGUCGAGUGGGGCUUCUUGGAAGCCAUGUUGUGUAAGUUGGGCUUUACCAGAACAUGGACUGAUCUAGUCAUGAAGUGCAUGAGGACAGUGAGAUACCAAAUCAAGGUCAAUGGCAAAGUCACGAACACAUUCAGCCCUUCUCGCGGCCUGAGACAAGGGGAUCCCAUAUCUCCCUAUUUGUUUGUCAUUUGUGCAGAGGGGUUGUCUGCGCUCCUUAAUGAUGCCGAGGAGAAAGGUACAAUGCAUGGAGUCAAGAUAUGUCAACAGGCACCGUGCGUAUCACAUCUCUUGUUCGCUGAUGACUCCAUGCUGUUGAUGAAAGCAAACCAGGAAGAGGCAGCGGCAUUGCACGACGUGCUCCAGUUAUAUGAGGAUUGUUCUGGCCAAUGCAUAAAUGUUGAGAAGUCUGUUGUCAUGUUCAGCCCCAAUACAAGUAAUACAUCAAAACAAUCGGUCAAAAAUGUACUGGGUAUACAUAGAGUGAGAACUGGAACGAAAAGUACCUAG